ACGUAAGGUUUCUUGCUUGGGAACGUCUCAUCGAAUCAGCCCUCGGAGCUAGAAACCUUCAAGACACCUUUGAUCCUCUCUUUCCCCUCACUCGCAACACCUCACUCAUUAUCAGGGUCAAGUGCUGUUACCCCAGAAAUGUCGCUUAAACCCAGCGGCUCCUGUCCACCCACACAGCCAGCACGCUGGUCCAUGCCUCAUCGUCUCCCAUUCAGAUGAUUGACAGCUCCCUUCGAUUCUGGCCACAAUGUCCCUUUCCAAUCCAGCAUCCAUCUCAGAUCGCCCUGCCGGAAUGACCCUGCUGAAGCACAGAUGUUACCGCGACACCCCCAGACACUAACCAGUAGCCAACAAUAUACCUCCUCUUGAUCGAAGGCUGAGAGAAACUGUAGAACGUUGACUAUGAUGGGAUCAUAGCUAGAAUAUGUACAUCUUUUCAGUGUGAUGUGCUGAGAAGUGCUAUCUAGGUAACUGUCCAUCACAUGAGAGCUGACCAGGCCUGGUUCACUGUCGUCUCCACAGUGCUCAUCGCAGAGC
Molecule: long non-coding RNA, 537 nt
Organism: Myotis davidii
Lineage: Eukaryota; Metazoa; Chordata; Mammalia; Chiroptera; Vespertilionidae
Exons: 3
Source: RefSeq, a predicted model, not a curated record